Molecule: long non-coding RNA, 4943 nt
Organism: Musa acuminata AAA Group (dessert banana)
Lineage: Eukaryota; Viridiplantae; Streptophyta; Magnoliopsida; Zingiberales; Musaceae
Exons: 5
Source: RefSeq, a predicted model, not a curated record
GGAAAGACCAAAACAGGAGGGAGCUUUCGACAUUGGAAGAAGGGGUUCCGGGGAUGUACGGAAAUGCAAUCAUCUCUGACUUCAUACCGACGCCCGCCUUGUGGCCGGGUAAGCCGAAGAGGGGGAAGCGUCUCAUGGUGGAGGACCAGAAGGAGGGGAAGGCCGACUUCCAGGAGUUCAACGACGAGUCCGAGGAGGACGAGUUCGAUGCCAUGCGGUUCUCCUUUGGAUCAAAAUCCAUUAUUUCCCGAGGUGACCUUUUUUUUUAUAAUGUGAUGAAUGAUGAAAGUAAACAUCAAAGGAAGGAGUCUGUAAGAUAGAGUUUAUACUUUUGAUAUAACCAAAAGAAAAGAAAAUCUCUUUGUUAUUAGAAAAAGGUGGUGCUCAAGAGAACUCUGCAAGAAAGGGAUAUUCCAAGUUCAUCAUUUCAGAGCUUUUACUAUAGCACUUCAAAUUUUUGUUUGGUUUGCAGAGGGCUCAAUGACCAAGUCUGUAAAUUUUAAUGGAUCUGCUGCUAAAUCAGCUUUAAAAAAAAAAGAAUCAGUACAGAGGAAUCCGACAAUGCCCAUGGGGCAAGUGGGCAGCUGAAAUCAGGGAUCCUCACAAAGGGGUUCGUGUCUGGCUUGGAACCUUUAACACUGCUGAAGAGGCUGCCAGAGCCUAUGAUGUUGAAGCCUGUUGAAUCUGGGGUAAGAAAGAGAAGGUGAACUUCCCUACUGCACCAUUGUCAGGUUCAACAAAUUUCUCACCAAAACCUACUGCGCGAAAAGUUUCAAAACCAAAAGUGUCAGAGACGAUUGACUUCAAGCAAACUAUUAAGUACCAGAGUGACCAAAAGCUUGAGCUCUAUUUAAGGUUCAUGGAGGACAGGGAACUAACCAAGCCUGACUACUCAGAUUCUCUUAUCACAAUACCUGCAGCACCUUCAGAAGUAACCGGACUGAAUUUCCACUCAGAGCAGGGAAGUAAUUCUUUUGGUUAUACAGACAUUGGAUGGGAGCUUGAGGCCAAGAUGCCAGAUAUCACAUCAAUUCUUGCUCCCUCCAUAACUGAAGGUGAUGAACCUGAAUCAUUCGAUGAUAUCAGCCUGUGGAAGUAAUUCUUUUGGUUAUACAGACAUUGGAUGGGAGCUUGAGGCCAAGAUGCCAGAUAUCACAUCAAUUCUUGCUCCCUCCAUAACUGAAGGUGAUGAACCUGAAUCAUUCGAUGAUAUCAGCCUGUGGAAGAAAGUGGAGCCUAAUAAUUUUAAAGAGGCAGUGCCAGCAGAGGAAAAUGCUGCAGCCAAACUCUCAGAGGAGUUAUCUGCUUACAAAAUACAAAUCAUAUAUGAAGUUCCUCCCUGAGCCUUACUUUGAGGGUAGUUUGGAUGCAUCGAUUGACAGCUUAUUUGGUGGUGAACUGGUACAGGAUGAUGUGGACCUUUGGAGCUUUGAUGACUUGCCAACUAGAGCAUCAUGUACUGAGGGAUUCUGAUCCUUGCCAUUGUCGUUCUAGAAAAGAACAAAUGAAUCAAUAUUGCUGAAGGAUAUGCAGAACUGGAAACAGUAGCCAGAUAUAAUAAAUUCAUUGUAAUUUGAUUUGCACUAGUGCCUUCAAGAACACCUUUGAUUGUAGCUGUAUGAAUUGUUUCACUUUGUGGUUUCUUGGAUGUGUUUCUCAUUUUAUGAUGAGUAAUGCUUUCUUUUAAGUCAAUUCUUUCAGAUUCUGCUGUUGCUUUUACCAGAUUCAUUAUGAGAUUGAUGAUGAACACAAGGGGUUAUAGCAGGGUUGGGACCAAAUGUGUAUUGUUAUUGUUUUUAUAUGUUGUGAAUUCGAUCUGAUACUGCCUACUAAUGGUCUGCCAUGACUUCAAUAGUUCUUAAUUGUUAAUGGUUCAUGAGCUUCAAAUUCUAGUGGUUAUUGGCCUACAAGUCUAUGUUUCCAAAUGUUAUGUCUAUGAUAAUAUUUUAAAUUAUUUGCGUCUGCUUGUUUUAUAAAACUGGUUAAUUGCUAUCUAGGAAGCAUAGAUAUUGCUUGAUGAAAGAUGGCUUUCAAAACCCAGAGGCAAUCUCAUGGGUGGCAAUUAAGGGAUUGGUGGUCUUUGACAAAAUGUAAUCUAAAUGUGCUGUGAACGCUGUCAACUUUCAAGUUUGCAUCUUUUGUACUAGCAUCAUUGGUUAUUUCAGUGAUAAUUGAAACAACAAGACAGCAGUUGCAGAUUCUUUUGUUGUCUAUUAUGCUGCAUCUUGAUCUAGCCUAUAUCUUUGGUAAUAAAAGAAAGGAGUCAGAACAAGGGUUGUACUUUUGUGGCUUGUUGUGGAGAGAGCUUAGUUUUUUUGUGGAUUCAUAUGGAUGGAGACUACCAUUGGGAUUGGCAAAAAACAAGAGUUGGUUUUCUCCUGACAGUUUUGGAAUAACUACUGGAAUAAAAGUGGUUUUAAUUUUUUCUUGCCUAUGUUAAAGGCAAGUUGUGGGGACUUUGAUAUAUUUAACUUUCACUCGAUGUUGCUUCUCCCUUGGUUCAAGGAAGGGACCAGCUUUGUGGGGACUGUGAGCUUGUUUUACCAUUAGUCUUUUUGGUAAUCUGCUUUACUUGGGAUUCCUUUUUCUUGAUUUCAUAAAUCUAGUUAACCGUAAUCUAUAUUUUCAAUCACCACACACACAGCUCUUCUUUGUUAGCUUCUGACCUUGAUCUUGUUUCACCAUCAAUCAUUUUGGUAAUCUGCUAUACUUCAGAUUCCAUUUCUUGAUUGCAUAAAUUUAAUACAUCUAUUUUUAAGCAGCACAUGCAUAGCUCUCCUUCGUUAGCUUUUGACUGAGCUUGUAGAUUACACCAGUAAUCUUUUUUGUAAUCUACUGUUAUUGGGUUCCAUGUCCUUGAUUGCAUACAUUUAGAUAACCUAAGUAAAUAUUUUUAAGCAGCACAUGCAGAGCUCUUCUUAGCUUCUACAUAGAUUUGUUCACAAUGCUCAUGUUUCCUUUUUGCUUGAUUGCAUAAUUAUACCAAAUUUAUUCUUAAACAGCAAAAGCAAAGCUCUUAUUUGUUAAUUUUGUAUACCGAAAUUUGUUCAGUGAGCAUGGAUAUAAACACUGACAUGCUAGUUUAUGUUUUGCAUUGACUAGAUCAUGUUCUAGAUCUCACUGUAUUGGAACAAUAUGAUAUUGUGUCAUGUGUUUGCUUUUGACUAAUAAAACAUCUAAAUGUUGAUAAGCAAUCAUUCUAUUGAAUAGUUUUUCAACUGAUAAUGAGGAUUAAAUUGGAUUGCAGGGUGUAUGGAUCAAUGCAGGUUGAAGAUCUGGUUAUGUUGGUGUCUUUUCUCUUAAAUGAUGGCUCCAGUUAUUACCCUUUCGAAGGAAAUGAAUGAUUCCACCACAAACAUCAUCUUCUCAGGCACUUAAAGAUUUGGGGAAAUCUUUGUCGUUCUUGAUAAAUAUCUGCUUGUAUGAGAUGUUCGGGGCCCACUCUGCUUUUAGGUUUGUACAGGACAGCUCAGGUUGUAGCUGUGAAGCCUUCAUGGUGAAGGAUGGGUUGCAAUCACACGACUAUUGGUAUAAAGUGAUGCUGCCAACUUGGUGGAGGUUCUCAACAAAAAGAAACCAUUCCCUUGACGACAGCUUAAUAUUUUUGAUGCAAUCAGCAUCAAUCAUAUACAGGGAGACCAACAAAGAUGCCAAUUGGGUGGCUGGCUUUUCUCGGACCUUCAGAUUCAUGCACAGAUAGAUGGAACUGUAGAUGUAUACUGAAAGGGCUGUCAAUUUUUUGAAGCAUGCUCGGACUAGAGAAAGUGAGAAGAGGAAAGGAGAGGGGGUGUAAGUUAGGUUUCCACUAUUUGCACAGUGAUCUGCUGCUGCUGAGUUCCCCUGCUGUCAUUAUCAAGAAUCUCCCCACAGUGAUUGAGCUAUAGAUCGGCAACUUGUUCCAGACAUGAUCACUUUAUGAAGGUUGGCAAGCACCCACAAACUCCUUGUCUCUUUGUGAAAACCAGAUCAACAUUGUAGCAGGAGUCCAUCCCAUGUCAUGGAUUUUAUCUUGUUUGCAUCUGGAAUCUGAAACACAAAGUCCAAUUCAUGUCUUCUUUAUCUUAUCAUGUCACCAUAACUUAUAUCUGAGUUCCUAUCGUAUGAAAGUAAUAAGAUCUUGCUAGAUCUACAACUUGAGUUUUUGGAUUCCCUCAACAGUUUGCUCAAGUUAUAUUUGCAGUUUCCUGCAAGGUUUUCCAGGUACUAAUCAGAAGAACUUUAGACUUGAGCAAGAACAAAAAGCAUCUCAGAAUCAUUUCAACUUUGCACUGCUUUAUAUAUGCCUUCCAUUAGUUUUUUGACUUCUACUCAAAGUUGUCGGCCAUAUGAUCUCAAAGAUACGCACAUUUCAAAGCUAUAGUCAACUUCUCACAGUAAUCUUUGGUGUUGCUUUUGGGCAGGUGCUAAUCCUCUCCGAUCAUGCCUUCAACUAUGGCCGUUCAAUUCUCCUAUCAGUACUGUCAGCUGAUCUCGAUUCUACCCACCACUGAUGAGUCCAUGAAGGAUCACAACUCCUUUGGCUACUACUACUAUUGGAUAAGCUUGUCUGCAUCAGUUGUUCAUAGACUAGUCAAUGACUUGCCAACUCUGAUCUACUUUUCCUCUGAUGAUGAAGUUUACCUCUGUUUGCAAGAUCGAGUGUCAUCGUGGCUUAAUAGAAUUAUUGUGAUCCUGAAGCCAAAUGUCACACAAGACAUGCUGCCUGCGUCGAUCAUUAAUCUUUCCUGCAUCGUUCAGGCAUAUGUGCUGCUAUUUGUGCUUGAUACAUGCAAACGUGCUGUCUACUGGAACAAAGAACUCGAUGAACACAAGACUCAAUUCUCAGUUUUUUGGUAAUGAAAAAGGAGGCUAAUUUUAUUGCAACAGAACACUGGCAUUCCAGGCUUACACAACACUCUGAAAACAUCAAAAGACGAUCUUUUUUGCAUUUUUGAUUUUGCUAA